RNAcentral lists this long non-coding RNA (7372 nucleotides) under Chlamydomonas reinhardtii. Its description in RNAcentral is "long non-coding RNA (CREI_LNC000198)". Lineage: Eukaryota; Viridiplantae; Chlorophyta; Chlorophyceae; Chlamydomonadales; Chlamydomonadaceae. The record is from RNAcentral.
UCUAGGGGCCUGACGCACAUUCCAGGUCGACUCCCACAGCUGCACAGCACCUAGCGUUGCCUGAGGAAGCCUAAGACUACGACUAAGCAGCCCGAGACGCUAGCGGUAGCCGCCCCCCUCACAACUAGGUCGCACCAAGCCUGUGCUUAGCUGGCUCCUUGCCCGAACAUUCGUGGCCAACUCUGACUCCACAGCCUGGUUGCAUCAAGGCACCAGGGCUCGUUUGGCGUGUGCUGUGUCUUGCGGUCACAACCCGUGGCUGACUGCAGCAUACUUGUAACGGUUGAGUGCAAAUUCCCCUUCGCGGGUUGCCCCUUCCCCUUCCCCUGCGACCGACGCGUGCGGACCGGACUGGACCUAAGCCCUUCGCCAUAGUGCGCGGCCUCUAGUGUGUCAGGCUUCCCCCGUCACCCCGGCGCCUACAGUCUCCCUUCUCUGGUCUCCCUUCGAGAUUGCAACAUCCUACUGUGAUCCAGCCUCUGCCUCCCUUCUCCCUCCACCGGUUUCCCUUCGAGAUUGCGACCGACUACCGCUCCCGGCUCCUGCUUUCUUCUGCCAGCCAUCUGGUCUGCAUACGGUAUCCUCCAGCCUUGGGUGCAAGCAGCUCGCAUCUGUUGUACCGACUUGCCUGCCUGUGCCUGCAGUCUGUAGCACUCGCAUAGGAUUGCUUGCUUGUAAGCGCACAAACCUGUUGUACAGACUUGCUUGCCUGGGAGCUUAGCUUGCUCAGCUCAGCCGGGUUGCGCAUCAGCAGCGCGUACGACUCCAGCGGGUACUCAGCCUUAUAGGGUAGUCUCGCUCCUCUCUCCUAUCCAAAACCUCUGGCGUUCUACACGCCCUAACAACUAUGCCCAGGCUCCACCUGAGGCUACGGCUUCUAUCCCCUCUUUCUCUCGUGCAGGUCCGGCCAGCCGGUCGCCAAGUCUCUCUCCCUUCUCUCUCUCCCUAUCCCUUUCCUUUACAGGUUCCCCAGCUCUCCUUGUACAUACGACUGAAUCAUCUCUCGACCACACCUCUGGUAUCUCCGACUAUUGCAGUGAUCGCCGCAGGCGCAUCUUGAUCACCCCGCAAGUGCCCAGGACAGCGGCUGGUAUACAGGGUCGGGCGUGGCGGCCGUCCAGCCUCUCCACGCUCCGUGCUCAUACCCUGGGAAGGUCAAAGCGGUGCAGGCCUGUCGUCAUACAGCUGCAUCGUGGCCAGUGCCUCAGUGACAGCCCGCGUUACAGCGCAAAAGUUUUUAUAGUUCCCGGUUUUUUUACGGGUGCUGCGCUUUUAGUGGGGGGAGUUGCGGGAAAUUGUCCUGAGCUCCUCUGCGUCCCCUUACCGUCAUUCCCAGCUUUCCUGGCUACGCCCGGAUUUAUCCGUCUACUGCGACAGCUAAAAUGGUUGACUCCGACGCCGAAUCUUCUUCAUCUGCGUCAAGCCGGCGUUCGAGCCGUUCUACCCAACUCAGGAAGGGCAUUUCGCCCUCUGCUCUUAAUGCUGUUCCCACGUUCAACCCCUCCUCUGAUGACCCGACUGAUUGGAUCGAUUCUAUUGAAAGGGUUGGACAGGUGUUUGGUUGGGACGAUCCCACCAAACUAGCCGUUGCCCGCUGCCGCCUGCUACACUCCGCCAGGGUUUGGGACUCUGCUGGUAAGGACAUCGAUUCCUGGCCGAAGUUCAGUCAAGCCUUCCUCGACCGUUUUGCCCUACGAGAAACAGAAAUCUAUGGCCAACUGGCAUCCUGCCGCCAGGGCCUACGCGAGUCAGUACGUGAUUAUUCCGACCGUUUCCGCCAUCUUCUGGCCCGUCUUGAUAUCAGGCCUGGCCGCGAUUACAUGUACCACUACCUGCGUGGGCUUCACCCCCGCACCUAUCGCAAGGUUCACCUCUUGCGCCCUCAAACUCUGGAAGAUGCGAUUGACGGCGCCAUCUACGUCAGCGAAGUUGAAGAUUGGGACGACGCCAGCACAGGGCGCAGCGCCCCGGCACCUCCCGAACGCAGGGCAGCGCUCGUAUCUUCCUUCGUUCGGAACGAAAUUUGCCCAAAAAGGCCUCUGGCGGACGAAAUGUUUUUGAUCUUGACUUGGAAUCUCGGCCAAAACGCACGGGAUCUUGGGGGGUCUUUCGGCAAACAGACGAAGACAUUUUUGGGAUUUCGGCCACUUUUGGCCAAGGACAGGGGGUUCCAGCGGCUACUCCACGGCCGAAAACUGCGUCGCAUAUGGUAAGAAGGCUCAAAGGGCUGUAUCUAUGGGUGUUGACGGCGGGAGACAGGGGUUCCCCUGGCGGGAGAGUGAGGUUGGGUCGGCGGGAAGCAGGGGAGGAGUGGGCGUGUCGUGUCGGUGUCGACAUCGUGCGGGUCGGGGGCGGAGCCCCCGGAAUAAUUUGGGGGGUGAACGAAGCGGCGGCAGCCUGUUUCGUCAACUAAACGAAGCCAUUUUAAGGAAUUCGGCCACUGACGCCGCCCCUGCCUUCGUAAGAUACGAGCGCUGACGCAGGGUGCGGUUUAAUGAACAACCGCCAAACACCCGCAGCCUACCCUCUCCGGCACCCCCCACGCCUCCUGAGACUCGCCAUGACCGCCACCGUCCACUUUCCUCCUCCCUCUCCCGCCGUGAUGACAGCGUCGUACGCCCCCGUGAUGAGAAGUACUCCUCCCGCGACAGAACCCGUGAAGACCGACUAGACCGGUAUACUGACCGUUCGCGCACGCCGCCGCGGUCCGCCUCUCCCCCAGCCCCAGCUCCUGACUCCUUUGAGCGUGAGCUGGAGGCUCUGCAGUCUAAGCUCGCCAAGAUGACGUUGGCCUACCGUCACGGCCAUGAUUUGUCCACCAAUAUGUAUGAACGUGAGGAGGAGGCUGCUGUGCCUGCAUACCUCUCCCACCGCUACGCUAGUGACUCCGACUCCAGGACCGAAGAUGGCAGGGAGUCAGAGCUGUACUCCAAUGAACACGCCGUCUUCACCACCAAGCGUAUCAGCGAUCCCGAACCCGUACGCUUGCCCAACAGGCGUGCGCCCGCAGACCCCGACGCCCAACCUAUGGAGAUCAACAACCGGCCGCCGCCACGCCGCGUCAGUACUACCCGUGCCCCGUCCAAGGCCCCUGCCGACACGCCAGCCCCCUCAACUCACCGUGCCGCGGACCCUGGGGUGCCCAUAGAUACCUCUCCCGGUUCUGCCGUCAGCAGGCCAGCCAUGCCUUCCCCCGCGCAUAAUGAAUGCAGUAACAGGGGCGACACGAUUUCCGCUGGCCAUCGUGGCGUUGGCCGCGCAACCCGUCGUCCUGGUGGUGGGACUACCCGUGCCAAAAACACCCCGGAAACACCGUCUUCAACUCCUCCUCAGCAGCGACUGCCACCUGCGGCGGUCCCUCUCAACCCGGCUACGGCCGAGCCAAGCCCGCCGCCAGUCUCUUGCACCACCUUCUUGGCCUCUCGUUCUCAAGACUUAACUGCUUCGGACCCUAUGCCCGUCCCGGAUGCGCACACCGCACGGUGGGAUUCUCUGCCUCUCUACAACCUGGACAGCCGUCUCCCCAUGUUUUCAGUGUGCCGGGCUACGGUCACACUAACCAACGCCCGUGGAGAGAAAGAGAGCAUUAGGGCAGUGGUUGACACUGGCGCCUCUUACAGUGUGGUGCCUAUGCAUAUCGUGCGCCGCCUGAACCUGCUGCCUUACGUCGCUGAAUCACGCGCCAUGUUCCUGAAUGCCGAUGGUGUCAAGAAGAAGGCAACUGGUCAAAUACGUGGCAUGCAGGUGGGGCUGGGCCAAGAUCUGAUGUACACCAUGGACAUGUACGUGUCCCAAGCCCAAAACUACGAGUUACUGCUGGGAAUGGACUUCCUGUACCCCAUCAAGGCUUCCGUGGAUUUCGGCGGCGGCCAGCGGCUGCUGUACACCAACGACUACAACCAACGCAGUCACGGGCCCAUUACUUGUGUGGUCGUCGAGGAGCCUCCUUCCCUCAAGACCUCCCUGCCCGGGCUGCAAGGAAUGCCAUCUAUCGGAUACAAUUCUGGGACCUACGGCCACGAACAGGAUGCAAUCCCCGCCCUGCAAUCCGUCAGCCAUGUGGGCCACCUGAAAGAGAAGGCAGGUAAGGCGCUGUAUACCCUCAAGAGCGCCGCUGUGGAGGCUGCCUCUACUGCCUCGUCCGGCAUGAAACAGCUACUCCAACACCUGCCGCGUACCGCUGAGGUGCGCUCUUGGUUGUUUACCACCUGGGAAAACGGGUUGACAAAAUGGACAGCCAAGGAGUACGGCACCGUGUCAAACCAGAUUACACACGACGCCGCCGUCGUAGCAAGCACCCCUAAAACGCCCCUUUCUUCCGACAGCCCUUCAAACAAGACUGCUACCGUUAAGAACCUGCCUCCCCUCGGGACGCCGCCCUUGGCGCCCGUGCGCAUCCCGCGCGCUAACCUUUCUGCCGGGCCAAGCCCUGGCUCACCUCCAACUUCUCCUGGCCUCCUCUGCGAGUCACCCGCACACUUCUCCUGCGACAUCUCUACCAACGAGGCGACGACUACAGAAUUUCCAGACAACCCGAGCGUGUCCCCCGACGGCGCGCCUGAGCCCCCGCCGACUGCCGACGAAAGUGCAGCGGCUGAGGCCUUCAUUGCCUUGGCCCAUCAGGCUGGCGCGUUCCUGCCACCUGAAGCUUCCAACGGCGCACGUUCCCCUCCUCCUUCUCGCUCCGCCUCUGCGUCUCUGAACGUGUUGGAAGGCGUUAAAGCCACAUGUCAUCAACGUGUGGGAGACGAGCUACCUGAGCUCUCGGACGGCGCCGCACCCACCACCGCCGCUCCUCCGCCGUCUUCCCGCGCUCCAAGCAAGAUGUCCCCAACCGAGCAGGAGCACAUUCGUGCAGCCGCCUUACCGCCGGUGCGUGCAAGCCCACUUAUGACCUGCGAUCAGCUGGCCCCUGCAGCAUCCCAGCAGGAGCCAGGAGUUGUGCCCCUCUUCCUUAGCGACGGGCACACUGAUGCCCGCCGUAUGGAUUUUAUCUCAGACUCCCCAGCUCGGCCUCCUCUUCCACCGCCCCAGCAGGCUGCCAACACGCCCAAGGAAGCUACGUCGUCUGAGAAAUUUACACCCGAACCGGAAUCAGCGCCUGAACCUGAGCCUGGCCCUGAACCUGAUGAGCCUCAACCCGAACCCCGCACCCUGCCACGACGCGUAAAGGUGCGCUCUGAGGCUGCACAGCACCCUCAGUCUGCCGCGGCGGCGGCCCUUGCCACCGCUGCCGCCACUCCACCUCCAGCACCCCAGCCAACCGUAACGGAAGCCCCUACAAGGCCUGUGUCGGUGUUGCCGCCGCGCCGCGUCAAUGCUUCCCAACUACCCCGUACAGAUUUGUCAACGCCGUCCGUCAGCCAAGAGAUUGCGACCGAAGUGCCCAACGCUGACCCGACCUUGUUCCCUAGUGGAGACGGACGUGAUCCAAGCCAAGCUUCCGUACACCCCAAGCCGGCUCUCGAGGAGUCGCCCGCCAUGCGCACCCAUAUGCCCAACAUGUUUGAUUUCGAGGUGAGACCCCCUGACGCUGACUGCUGUGACAGCGAACCUAUGGAAGGCCUACAGUGUGACAUCUGCGGCAAAGGAGAGCCGCCCCCAAACAACCUGCUUAUCUGCGACAGACCUGCUAAACGCCCUGCCCAUGGCUGUGACCCGUACUGCCUGUGGCCGCGGGUACUUAACGUACCAUAUGGCUCUUGGUAUUGUCCCCAACACCUGAUGGAAACGGCCAACCUCUCUGGAGGGCGUGGUGCGGACAAGGGCCCGGUACCGGCCUUACCCGGUCGUGCGUCGAGCAUAGGCCCGGUACGGGCCGCCGCCACGGCGGAAGCUGUUGCGGCCGCUGCGGCUGCCGCUGCAACUCCGCAAAACAACGGCGCUGUCAUCCCGACCGCCACCACCGUCACCAAGACUCAAGGGCGCCUGCGCGCCACCGCACAUGGAAUGGAGAAGCCCAAGGAUAAACAGUUACGCGAUCUGCCCCCCGCUACCAAAAUGUCCGUCCAACGGCCCCUACGUGUACAGAAGCUGGCAACUGCCACUGUACCUCCUAUCGUCCUGCAUCGACCCAAAACGGACCGCAACCGAAGGCCCUCCCACCAGUUUCCCCUACCAAGGUAUCUUAUUUUACUGCUGGCGCACGAGCCCAAUCAAAUGGAGGGGCCUGCGUCUCCUACAGCCGCUAGGCAACGGUGGUCAACAAUCGCCUGCUGCACGGCUCAAGAUCAUUUCAACGCGGUUUAUGUAGUGCAAGCCGACCUGCCGCCGCAAGCAAGCAGAAAUGCCUGGGUCAGCACGCUACUGGGUCAUGCAAGGGACGCAUGACUGAAGGCCCGGUAGCGACAGCUGUGGCGACAACAGAUGUACUUCGUAAAUCCGCGGCUGACCCAUCUUUGCUACUGCAGAGGAAAGAGUAGAAAGUGCCGCACUGCAACAGGUUCCUGCUUUCCCCAAUCCCUGCCAGUGCGUGCGUGUGUGUGUGUCCCAUGCCCCUCGGGUAGCCCAGGUUCGCCAACACCGCCCCUUCCACCAAGGGCCCACGGUCCAGCAAGGAUCCCGUCUUGAACAUGGCGAGCCCAAGCCACUACGUAUAGCUUCCAGCGGCGCCGAGACGUGAGUCGCGGCGCUGCUCGUCCAAGUUCCACCGACCAAGACCAAUCAAGAUCCAAGGCCAUUGUGGAUCAGCAAAAAUAUGAUAAAUAGUUGAGCGAGAUGAUGAGCAUAGCAGCGGCAUUAGGCCGCGUCGAGUUGGUUGAUCUAGUAGUUCGCGAUCGAAGUUUCCGGACUUGCUCGAUGUUUCUAGUGGCGCCCCGGGCUAGCCUAGAAUGUUCGAAGAAGUUGUUUAGCACACCCACCAUCGAGCGACGUUUUGGGUAGUUGACGAGGUCGGUUGAAGGUGUGGCACGCCCGCCACCGGAAGUAGUUACCUAGCGAUAUAUAGGGGCCUGACGCACAUUCCAGGUCGACUCCCACAGCUGCACAGCACCUAGCGUUGCCUGAGGAAGCCUAAGACUACGACCAAGCAGCCAGAGACGCUAGCGGUAGCCGCCCCGCUCACAACUAGGUCGCACCAAGCCUGUGCUUAGCUGGCUCCUUGCCUGAACAUUCGUGGCCAACUCUGACUCCACAGCCUGGUUGCAUCAAGGCACCAGGGCUCGUUUGGCGUGUGCUGUGUCUUGCGGUCACAACCCGUGGCUGACGGCAGCAUACUUGUAACGGUUGAGUGCAAAUUCCCCUUCGCGGGCUGCCCCUUCCCCUUCCCCUGCGACCGACGCGUGCGGACCGGACUGGACCUAAGCCCUUCGCCAUAGUGCGCGGCCUCUAGUGUGUCAGGCUUCCCCCGUCACCCCGGCGCCUACAGUCUCCC